GCGGACUUUAUCAACAGCCCCAUAACCUCACCUUCUGUCCUAUUUCCUAAACCCCAUGACACAUCACUCUUCUUUCUCUUCUUAUAAUUCCAAGUAACAUAAAUAAAAUUCACUAUAGAACCCUAUUAGCCCACCAACUUCAAAAGCUAAUUUAUGGGCCCAAGAUUUAGGUCAGCAGUAUUCUAACUUUACAAAAGGGGAGGAGACCAAUUUCUGCCCUUUAAGCGCUCAUCUGCACAGGAAGCAACCAGAAGGAGGAGGUCCCUGAGUCGCUUUAAAAGCAUCAGUUCUGAUUACCGUACUCAUUCUGGCAUGGCCAUCAAAUGCAAGAAGUGUGAAGAAGAAAUGGAUGCUGUUUUAAAAGAAGGCUCGUCCUGACACAGCACACUGAUCACCAUCUCACUGUCCCUUUCACAAGCUUACUCCGUCUUUGAGCUUCACAGCUGCAGUUUGGGAAGAACAGGCUAGCCCAGGCCUCCAAGAGCAUCCCAGAGAGGAAGACCAGCCAAUGGAGGUCCUGAGUGAGAGGGACAUUUGCCCUAAUGUUUGGUGAGGUACCUAAC
Molecule: long non-coding RNA, 563 nt
Filed under: Homo sapiens (human)
Lineage: Eukaryota; Metazoa; Chordata; Mammalia; Primates; Hominidae
Description: non-protein coding lnc-CSNK1G3-3:1
Source: RNAcentral